UGGGAAUUUUGGACAAUGGGCGAAAGCCUGAUCCAGCAAUGCCGCGUGUGUGAAGAAGGCCUUCGGGUUGUAAAGCACUUUUGUCCGGAAAGAAAUCCUUGGCUCUAAUACAGUCGGGGGAUGACGGUACCGGAAGAAUAAGCACCGGCUAACUACGUGCCAGCAGCCGCGGUAAUACGUAGGGUGCAAGCGUUAAUCGGAAUUACUGGGCGUAAAGCGUGCGCAGGCGGUUUGCUAAGACCGAUGUGAAAUCCCCGGGCUCAACCUGGGAACUGCAUUGGUGACUGGCAGGCUAGAGUAUGGCAGAGGGGGGUAGAAUUCCACGUGUAGCAGUGAAAUGCGUAGAGAUGUGGAGGAAUACCGAUGGCGAAGGCAGCCCCCUGGGCCAAUACUGACGCUCAUGCACGAAAGCGUGGGGAGCAAAACAGGAUUAGAUACCCUGGUAGUCCACGCCCUAAACGAUGUCAACUAGUUGUUGGGGAUUCAUUUCCUUAGUAACGUAGCUAACGCGUGAAGUUGACCGCCUGGGGAGUACGGUCGCAAGAUUAAAACUCAAAGGAAUUGACGGGGUCAUAGCUG
RNAcentral lists this ribosomal RNA (579 nucleotides) under uncultured bacterium. RNAcentral's name for it is "partial 16S ribosomal RNA". It matches the Rfam family "Bacterial small subunit ribosomal RNA", at positions 356 to 932 of the family's 1533-position model. The record is from RNAcentral.